GAGGUCCUAGCUCAGUGGUUGAGCGCUUGCCUCACAUGUGUGAGGCAUUGGGUUCAAUCCACAGUACCACA
Molecule: transfer RNA, 71 nt
Filed under: Marmota monax (woodchuck)
Lineage: Eukaryota; Metazoa; Chordata; Mammalia; Rodentia; Sciuridae
Description: tRNA.Val
Source: RNAcentral